AUUGAACGCUGGCGGCGUGCCUAACACAUGCAAGUCGAGCGGUAACAGGUGUAGCAAUACAUGCUGACGAGCGGCGGACGGGUGAGUAACGCUUGGGAAUCUGCCUGUUAGUGGGGGACAACCCGGGGAAACUCGGGCUAAUACCGCAUACGCACUACGGUGGAAAGCCGGGGACCGCAAGGCCUGGCGCUAACAGAUGAGCCCAAGUCGGAUUAGCUAGUUGGUAGGGUAACGGCCUACCAAGGCGACGAUCCGUAACUGGUCUGAGAGGACGACCAGUCACACCGGAACUGAGACACGGUCCGGACUCCUACGGGAGGCAGCAGUGGGGAAUAUUGGACAAUGGGCGAAGGCCUGAUCCAGCGACGCCGCGUGGGUGAAGAAGGCCUGCGGGUUGUAAAGCCCUUUCGGUGGGGAAGAAAAGCUCGAGUUAAUACCUCGGGUCUUGACGUAACCCAUAGAAGAAGCACCGGCUAACUCCGUGCCAGCAGCCGCCGCUGUAAC
Molecule: ribosomal RNA, 504 nt
Filed under: uncultured bacterium
Lineage: Bacteria
Description: bacterial SSU rRNA
Rfam family: Bacterial small subunit ribosomal RNA
Source: RNAcentral